This 454-nucleotide long non-coding RNA is filed under the name Volvox carteri. RNAcentral's name for it is "long non-coding RNA (VCAR_LNC000512)". The record is from RNAcentral. Lineage: Eukaryota; Viridiplantae; Chlorophyta; Chlorophyceae; Chlamydomonadales; Volvocaceae.
GCGGGUCGAUUUCACAGGCACACACAUACAUACAAGCACACACAUACAUACAAACACACACAGACAAGACACAGAGCACCACACACAAACAGUUUGGAUGCGCAAUGGAACUGUACGGAUUGAAGUAUGAGGUCCCCGCGACCUGCAUUGCGUUUAUACUUAGAACUUGUGUGUUCACUUGGAUAUGAUCAUGAUUGCUUAUGGGUCAUGGCCAUUUCGUUUACCUGCAAGCAUGGUGCAUGUACGGGCUGCUAAAGACCAGUGCGUUACAUGCGUUACUACUAAACAACCAGGGCUUAAGAAGUAGCCAUGCAAAUCCUAUUUACGGGUAAGAAUGAAAAUGAUUGUAAAACCGAAGCUUUCGCCUAUUCAUCUCCUUAACACGGUGCGCCUGGCGCGCUGUUGCAGACACGCAAGGCAGGGGCAAGACGUGGCAACACAGCCAACGGACAAC